Molecule: ribosomal RNA, 481 nt
Filed under: uncultured bacterium
Lineage: Bacteria
Description: partial 16S ribosomal RNA
Rfam family: Bacterial small subunit ribosomal RNA
Source: RNAcentral
GAUGAACGCUGGCGGCGUGCUUAACACAUGCAAGUCGAACGAAGCAUUUGCGACAGAUUUUUUCGGAAUGAAGUUGCUUAUGACUGAGUGGCGGACGGGUGAGUAACGCGUGGGUAACCUACCUUGUACUGGGGGAUAGCAGCUGGAAACGGCUGGUAAUACCGCAUAAGCGCACAAUGUUGCAUGACAUGGUGUGAAAAACUCGGGUGGUAUAAGAUGGACCCGCGUCUGAUUAGCUAGUUGGUGAGAUAACAGCCCACCAAGGCGACGAUCAGUAGCCGACCUGAGAGGGUGACCGGCCACAUUGGGACUGAGCCACGGCCCAGACUCCUACGGGAGGGAGCAGUGGGGAAUAUUGCACAAUGGAGGAAACUCUGAUGCAGCGACGCCGCGUGAGUGAAGAAGUAAUUCGUUAUGUAAAGCUCUAUCAGCAGGGAAGAUAGUGACGGUACCUGACUAAGAAGCUCCGGCUAAAUACGUG